RNAcentral lists this long non-coding RNA (786 nucleotides) under Neogale vison (American mink). RNAcentral describes it as "Neovison vison (American mink) lncRNA (ENSNVIG00000007944.1)". The stretch from base 271 to 361 matches the Rfam family "Small nucleolar SNORD12/SNORD106". Lineage: Eukaryota; Metazoa; Chordata; Mammalia; Carnivora; Mustelidae. The record is from RNAcentral.
UACUGAUCCAGCCAUCCAGGCACCCCACGUGAGGAUUUUUUUUUUUUUUCUAAGGAAAAGCUAAAUUUGUGUUUUUGGUUGACCCAACCACCAGUUCUCAGCUUUGUACCAUUUUAAUUUGCUUGAGUCCAGGAAUGGCACCUUAAGGGCAGGACUUAGUGGGAGACAGAUUUGUCAUAAAACUGGUGUCAGAGUGGACCUGUAAGUCGGGUUUUUGGUGAUGGCAUUUUGCAUUAAAAUUAGUAACACCUGCGAACAGGAGCUUUGUCUGCUGGCAUAUAUGAUGACUGAACUUUUUUCCCCAACAGAUCGACCAUGUUGAUCUAACUUUCCUAAGCCAGUUUCUGUCUGAUAUGCCAACUUGAGCAGCUCCUUUGUCCCUCACUUCCCUUGAGCAUCUAGCUGAUGGGAACUCGUGUUUGUUUUUUCAUCUUAGAGUUACUGUUGGCUGAAAGCAGACUUCGAGUAGACCAGGAAUGAGAUGUUGGUUAGGAACCCUAUGAGCCACAGGACCAUAUGUAGAUGCAGCCUGAUCUACAUUCUGCAUUGGUUCAUUCUGACCUGCGUCAGGAAUUUCUCAACUAUGGAGCUGGUCCCAAGUCUUGGAAAUGAUUGAUCCUGUGCUUUCCUGAAUAAGAGUGAUAGUUUCUGGUUGAAUCUGUCUCAAAAAGGUUUUAUGUAACCUGAGGACUGUCUAGAGGCCUGUGCCCAUUUUGAAGAAUCCAGGAUUAUGGUUAAACUUGGCAAACAUUUUUAGUUUGUAUCAUUUCUAUCUGGAGAGAGAAA